RNAcentral lists this ribosomal RNA (253 nucleotides) under uncultured bacterium. RNAcentral describes it as "partial 16S ribosomal RNA". It matches the Rfam family "Bacterial small subunit ribosomal RNA", at positions 524 to 776 of the family's 1533-position model. The record is from RNAcentral.
UACGGAGGGUGCAAGCGUUAUCCGGAUUCACUGGGUUUAAAGGGUGCGUAGGCGGACAGGUAAGUCCGCUGUAAAAGUCAAAGGCUCAACCUUUGAAUGUCAGUGGAUACUGCCGGGCUAGAGUCCGGAAGAGGCGAGUGGAACUCCUGGUGUAGCGGUGGAAUGCGCAGAUAUCAGGAAGAACACCAACGGCGAAGGCAGCUCGCUGGGACGGUACUGACGCUGAGACGCGAAAGCGUGGGGAGCGAACAGG